RNAcentral lists this ribosomal RNA (442 nucleotides) under uncultured bacterium. RNAcentral's name for it is "partial 16S ribosomal RNA". It matches the Rfam family "Bacterial small subunit ribosomal RNA", at positions 338 to 795 of the family's 1533-position model. The record is from RNAcentral.
CCUACGGGGGGCAGCAGUGGGGAAUAUUGGGCAAUGGGCGCAAGCCUGACCCAGCAACGCCGCGUGAAGGAAGAAGGCUUUCGGGUUGUAAACUUCUUUUGUCAGGGAAGAGUAGAAGACGGUACCUGACGAAUAAGCCACGGCUAACUACGUGCCAGCAGCCGCGGUAAUACGGAGGGUGCGAGCGUUAAUCGGAAUUACUGGGCGUAAAGCGCUCGUAGGCGGUAUGUCAAGUCAAGGGUGAAAUCCCCGCGCUCAACGUGGGAACUGCCUUUGAAACUGGCAAACUGGAGUGUGUGAGAGGAUAGUGGAAUUCCAGGUGUAGGAGUGAAAUCCGUAGAUAUCUGGAGGAACAUCAGUGGCGAAGGCGACUAUCUGGCACAUAACUGACGCUGAGGAGCGAAAGCGUGGGUAGCAAACAGGAUUAGAUACCCUUGUAGUC